UUGCCCUACGGGGGGCAGCAGUGGGGAAUAUUGCACAAUGGGGGGAACCCUGAUGCAGCGACGCCGCGUGGGUGAAGGAGUAUUUCGGUAUGUAAAGCCCUAUCAGCAGGGAAGAACAAUGACGGUACCUGACUAAGAAGCACCGGCUAAAUACGUGCCAGCAGCCGCGGUAAUACGUAUGGAGCGAGCGUUGUCCGGAUUUACUGGGUGUAAAGGGUGCGUAGGCGGCCCUGCAAGUCAGAAGUGAAAUCCAUGGGCUUAACCCGUGAACUGCUUUUGAAACUACAGGACUUGAGUGGAGUAGG
Molecule: ribosomal RNA, 305 nt
Filed under: uncultured bacterium
Lineage: Bacteria
Description: bacterial SSU rRNA
Rfam family: Bacterial small subunit ribosomal RNA
Source: RNAcentral